UAGCUCAGCUGGAUAGAGCAACGGCCUUCUAAGCCGUCGGUCGGGGGUUCGAAUCC
This 56-nucleotide transfer RNA is filed under the name Listeria monocytogenes. Its description in RNAcentral is "tRNA-Arg". It matches the Rfam family "tRNA", at positions 8 to 60 of the family's 71-position model. From Rfam's summary of the family: Transfer RNA (tRNA) molecules are approximately 80 nucleotides in length. Their secondary structure includes four short double-helical elements and three loops (D, anti-codon, and T loops). The record is from RNAcentral. Lineage: Bacteria; Bacillati; Bacillota; Bacilli; Caryophanales; Listeriaceae.